Molecule: unclassified non-coding RNA, 88 nt
Filed under: Pseudomonas reinekei
Lineage: Bacteria; Pseudomonadati; Pseudomonadota; Gammaproteobacteria; Pseudomonadales; Pseudomonadaceae
Source: RNAcentral
UGUGGGAGCGAGCCUGCUCGCGAAGGCGUCUUGUCAGUGGACAUCUGCGUUGCCUGACCCACCGUUCGCGAGCAGGCUCGCUCCCACA